UUCCUAUAUAUAUAUCGGGGACAUCCGAUAAAAUUGUAACGAUACAGAGAAGAUUAGCAUGGCCCCUGCGCAAGGAUGACAUGCAUAAAUCGAGAAAUGGUAUCAGAGCAA
Molecule: small nuclear RNA, 111 nt
Filed under: Rosa chinensis
Lineage: Eukaryota; Viridiplantae; Streptophyta; Magnoliopsida; Rosales; Rosaceae
Source: RNAcentral